Non-coding RNA from Salmo salar (Atlantic salmon), 73 nucleotides. Lineage: Eukaryota; Metazoa; Chordata; Actinopteri; Salmoniformes; Salmonidae. The record is from Rfam.
GUCCCUGUAGCUCAGUUGGUAGAGCAUGGUGUUUGCAACACCAGGGUUGUGGGUUCGAUUCCCACGGGGGGCC